UACGAAGGGGGCUAGCGUUGCUCGGAAUUACUGGGCGUAAAGGGCGCGUAGGCGGACAGUUAAGUCGGGGGUGAAAGCCCGGGGCUCAACCUCGGAAUUGCCUUCGAUACUGGCUGUCUUGAGUACGGGAGAGGUGUGUGGAACUCCGAGUGUAGAGGUGAAAUUCGUAGAUAUUCGGAAGAACACCAGUGGCGAAGGCGACACACUGGCCCGUUACUGACGCUGAGGCGCGAAAGCGUGGGGAGCAAACAGG
This 253-nucleotide non-coding RNA is filed under the name uncultured bacterium. Its description in RNAcentral is "partial 16S ribosomal RNA". It matches the Rfam family "Bacterial small subunit ribosomal RNA", at positions 524 to 776 of the family's 1533-position model. RNAcentral also lists the same sequence under 1 other name. The record is from RNAcentral.